Molecule: ribosomal RNA, 700 nt
Filed under: uncultured bacterium
Lineage: Bacteria
Description: bacterial SSU rRNA
Rfam family: Bacterial small subunit ribosomal RNA
Source: RNAcentral
GCAAGUCGAGCGCCCCGCAAGGGGAGCGGCAGACGGGUGAGUAACGCGUGGGAAUCUACCCAUCCCUACGGAACAACUCCGGGAAACUGGAGCUAAUACCGUAUACGCCCUUUGGGGGAAAGAUUUAUCGGGGAUGGAUGAGCCCGCGUUGGAUUAGCUAGUUGGUGGGGUAAAGGCCUACCAAGGCGACGAUCCAUAGCUGGUCUGAGAGGAUGAUCAGCCACAUUGGGACUGAGACACGGCCCAAACUCCUACGGGAGGCAGCAGUGGGGAAUAUUGGACAAUGGGCGCAAGCCUGAUCCAGCCAUGCCGCGUGAAUGAUGAAGGCCUUAGGGUUGUAAAGUUCUUUCACCGGAGAAGAUAAUGACGGUAUCCGGAGAAGAAGCCCCGGCUAACUUCGUGCCAGCAGCCGCGGUAAUACGAAGGGGGCUAGCGUUGUUUGGAAUUACUGGGCGUAAAGCGCACGUAGGCGGAUAUUUAAGUCAGGGGUGAAAUCCCAGAGCUCAACUCUGGAACUGCCUUUGAUACUGGGUAUCUUGAGUAUGGAAGAGGUGAGUGGAAUUGCGAGUGUAGAGGUGAAAUUCGUAGAUAUUCGCAGGAACACCAGUGGCGAAGGCGGCUCACUGGUCCAUAACUGACGCUGAGGUGCGAAAGCGUGGGGAGCAAACAGGAUAGAUACCCUGGUAGUCCACGCCCGUAA